RNAcentral lists this ribosomal RNA (541 nucleotides) under uncultured Ascomycota. RNAcentral's name for it is "SSU rRNA". It matches the Rfam family "Eukaryotic small subunit ribosomal RNA", at positions 553 to 1103 of the family's 1831-position model. The record is from RNAcentral. Lineage: Eukaryota; Fungi; Ascomycota.
GGGCAAGUCUGGUGCCACCAGCCGCGGUAAUUCCAGCUGCAAUAGUGUAAAAUAAAGUCGUUGUGGUUAAAAAUCUCGUAGUUGAACCUUGGGCCUGGCUGGCGGGUCCGCCCGUCGCGUGUACUGGUCCGGCCGGGCCUUUCCCUGAGUGGAUCCCAUGCCCUUCAUUGGGUGUGGCGGGGAAACAGGACUUCCACUGUGAAAAAAUAGAGUGCUCCAGGCAGGCGUAUGCUCGAAUACAUUAGCAUGGAAUAAUAGAAUAGGACGUGUGGUUCUAUUUUGUUGGUUUGUAGGACCGCCGUAAUGAUUAAUAGGGACAGUCGGGGGCAUCAGUAUUCAAUUGUCAGAGGUGAAAUUCUUGGAUUUAUUGAAGACUAACUACUGCGAAAGCAUUUGCCAAGGAUGUUUUCAUUAAUCAGGAACGAAAGUUAGGGGAUCGAAGACGAUCAGAUACCGUCGUAGUGUUAACCAUAAAAUAUGCCGACUAGGGAUCGGACGGUGUUAUUUUUUGACCCGUUGGGCACCUUACGGGAAACAAGGG